This 484-nucleotide ribosomal RNA is filed under the name uncultured bacterium. RNAcentral describes it as "partial 16S ribosomal RNA". It matches the Rfam family "Bacterial small subunit ribosomal RNA", at positions 30 to 507 of the family's 1533-position model. The record is from RNAcentral.
AUUGAACGCUGGCGGAAUGCUUUACACAUGCAAGUCGAACGGCAGCACGGGGGCAACCCUGGUGGCGAGUGGCGAACGGGUGAGUAAUACAUCGGAACGUGCCCGGUCGUGGGGGAUAACGUAGCGAAAGUUACGCUAAUACCGCAUACGAUCUGAGGAUGAAAGCGGGUGACCUUCGGGCCUCGCGCGAUCGUAGCGGCCGAUGUCAGAUUAGGUAGUUGGUGGGGUAAAGGCCUACCAAGCCGACGAUCUGUAGCUGGUCUUAGAGGACGACCAGCCACACUGGGACUGAGACACGGCCCAGACUCCUACGGGAGGCAGCAGUGGGGAAUUUUGGACAAUGGGCGCAAGCCUGAUCCAGCCAUUCCGCGUGAAGGACGAAGGACUUCGGGUUGUAAACUGCUUUUGUAUGGAACGAAAAGGAUCUGGCUAAUACCUGGGGAUCAUGACGGUACCGUAAGAAUAAGCACCGGCUAACUACGUG